Molecule: ribosomal RNA, 449 nt
Filed under: uncultured bacterium
Lineage: Bacteria
Description: partial 16S ribosomal RNA
Rfam family: Bacterial small subunit ribosomal RNA
Source: RNAcentral
AACGAACGCUGGCGGCAGGCCUAACACAUGCAAGUCGAGCGAGAUCUUCGGAUCUAGCGGCGGACGGGUGAGUAACGCGUGGGAAUAUGCCCUUCUCUACGGAAUAGCCUCGGGAAACUGGGAGUAAUACCGUAUACGCCCUUAGGGGGAAAGAUUUAUCGGAGAAGGAUUAGCCCGCGUUGGAUUAGGUAGUUGGUGGGGUAAUGGCCUACCAGGCCUACGAUCCAUAGCUGGUUUGAGAGGAUGAUCAGCCACACUGGGACUGAGACACGGCCCAGACUCCUACGGGAGGCAGCGGUGGGGAAUCUUAGACAAUGGGGGCAACCCUGAUCUAGCCAUGCCGCGUGAGUGAUGAAGGCCUUAGGGCUGUAAAGCUCUUUCAGCUGGGAAGAUAAUGACGGUACCAGCAGAAGAAGCCCCGGCUAACUCCGUGCCAGCCGCCGCCGUAA